CCUACGGGAGACAGCAGUGAGGAAUAUUGGUCAAUGGGCGCGAGCCUGAACCAGCCAAGUAGCGUGAAGGAUGAAUGCCCUACGGGUUGUAAACUUCUUUUAUAUAGGAAUAAAGUGUUGCACGUGUGCGUUUUUGUAUGUACCUUAUGAAUAAGGAUCGGCUAACUCCGUGCCAGCAGCCGCGGUAAUACGGAGAGUCCGAGCGUUAUACGGAUUUAUUGGGUUUAAAGGGGGCGUAAGGGGGUUGUCAAGGCAGGUGGGAAAGUUUGCGGCUCAACCUUAGAAUUGCCAUUGAAACUGGCAGGCUUGAGUGAAGGUGAGGUAGGCGGAAUUCGUGGUGUAGCGGUGAAAUGCUUAGAUAUCACGCAGAACUCCGAUUGCGAAGGCAGCAUACUGGACUGCAACUGACGUUGAUGCACGAAAGCGUGGGUAUCGAACAGGAUUAGAUACCCCAGUAGUC
Molecule: ribosomal RNA, 460 nt
Filed under: uncultured bacterium
Lineage: Bacteria
Description: partial 16S ribosomal RNA
Rfam family: Bacterial small subunit ribosomal RNA
Source: RNAcentral